RNAcentral lists this ribosomal RNA (1436 nucleotides) under uncultured fungus. RNAcentral describes it as "eukaryotic LSU rRNA". The stretch from base 627 to 1436 matches the Rfam family "Eukaryotic large subunit ribosomal RNA", at positions 1 to 667 of the family's 3401-position model. Lineage: Eukaryota; Fungi. The record is from RNAcentral.
CUUGGUCAUUUAGAGGAAGUAAAAGUCGUAACAAGGUUUCCGUAGGUGAACCUGCGGAAGGAUCAUUCACAAUGAGUGUUUUAUGGCACCCUUUAAAAAUCCAUAUCCACCUUGUGUGCAAUGUUUGUUGGGAGAGAGGCAACUCUUUCCCUUCACAAAUAUCAACCUAUAUCUUUAACAACAUUCGUCUGAUAACAUAUUAUGAAUAUACUUAAUUCAAAAUAUAACUUUCAACAACGGAUCUCUUGGCUCUCGCAUCGAUGAAGAACGCAGCGAAAUGCGAUACGUAAUGUGAAUUGCAGAAUUCAGUGAAUCAUCGAAUCUUUGAACGCAUAUUGCGCUCUUUGGUAUUCCGAAGAGCAUGCUUGUUUGAGUAUCAGUAAACACCUCAACCUCCUCUUGUUUUUUCAAAAAGGAGGGUGGACUUGAGCUAUCCCAACAACCUUCACCGGGUAGGCGGGCGGCUUGAAAUGCAGGGGCAGCUGGACUUUUAUCUGAGCUAAAAGCAUAUCUNUUUAGUCCCCNGUCAAACAGGAUUAUUACUAUUGCUGCAGCUAACAUAAAGGAUAANUGUCCUCAUUGCUGACUGAUGCAGGAAUUUACCACCCUUUAUGUGGUGGUCAACUCGAUCUCAAAUCNAGUAAGACUACCCGCUGAACUUAAGCAUAUCAUAAGCGGAGGAAAAGAAACUAACAGGAUUCCCYUAGUAACGCGAGUGAAGCGGAUGAGCUCAAAUUUGAANAUCUGGCUGGKUUACUAGUCCGAGUUGUAAUUAAAGAAGCGUUUUCGGUGGCAGCCUGGGUAUAAAUCCCUUNGGAAAUAGGGUAUCAUAGAGGGUGAGANUCCCGUCUUNGACUUAGUGCAUGCUACUAUGUGAUACGUUUUCAAAGAGUCGAGUUGUUNGGGAAUGCAGCUCAAAAUGGGUGGUAAAUUUCAUCUAAAGCUAAAUAUNGGCGAGAGACCGAUAGCGAACAAGUACCGUGAGGGAAAGAUGAAAAGAACUUUGAAAAGAGAGUUAAACAGUGCGUGAAAUUGUUGAAAGGGAAACGUUUGACACCAGUCAUGUGGGUGGAAAAUCAGUCUUUUGCAUUGGGGAGUUGUAAAGGUUCGGACCGCAAGGCCGGCUUUUGCUUCAUCUUUGGUGUAAGGGAUGCACUUUUUCAUCUACAGGUCAACAUCAGUUUCUUUUGCUGGACAAAACUCCGAGAGAAGGUAGCAGCUUAGGCUGUGUUAUAGCUCUGGAGCGAUACAGUGAAGGGGACUGAGGUUUUCGCAGCGUGUGCUCUCGGGCAAGGCUGGAUGGGUGCUAUGGGAUCGUUCGGGGUACAAUGCCUGGCAUUUUGCUUCGUGUCUUUUCUAUACUCGCUCAACUCAGCUCUUCCACGCUUAGGAUGUUGACUUAAUGGUUUUAAACGACCCGUCUUGAAACACGGACC